This 86-nucleotide transfer RNA is filed under the name Anaerotignum sp. RNAcentral describes it as "tRNA-Ser". It matches the Rfam family "tRNA". Rfam says of the family: Transfer RNA (tRNA) molecules are approximately 80 nucleotides in length. Their secondary structure includes four short double-helical elements and three loops (D, anti-codon, and T loops). Further hydrogen bonds mediate the characteristic L-shaped molecular structure. tRNAs have two regions of fundamental functional importance: the anti-codon, which is responsible for specific mRNA codon recognition, and the 3' end, to which the tRNAs corresponding amino acid is attached (by aminoacyl-tRNA synthetases). tRNAs cope with the degeneracy of the genetic code in two manners: having more than one tRNA (with a specific anti-codon) for a particular amino acid; and 'wobble' base-pairing, i.e. permitting non-standard base-pairing at the 3rd anti-codon position. Lineage: Bacteria; Bacillati; Bacillota; Clostridia; Lachnospirales; Anaerotignaceae. The record is from RNAcentral.
GGAGACGUAUCGAAGUGGUCAUAACGGGCCUGACUCGAAAUCAGGUAGCCCUCCGGGGCUCGUGGGUUCGAAUCCCACCGUCUCCG